UCGACAGAGAUUCCACUGAGGGAAAGUGGCUAGCGCAAGGGCUGAGGGGGUAAAAAUUAUGUGUUGAGGGACAUUCCCUAGUGUAUGAGAACCAGGUGCAGUACCGCCAAGAGACUCCCCUUACAGAGUAUUUGUACUCCUGUCUAUAUGGCCUAGUGUAAGAUGUUCUGACCUUCCAAGAGGGGCCAUUGAGACUGCAUGUCGGGAUCGAUACCUGUUGGUAACAACCCAACUCUCAUUCGCUGGGAACGAACCUCGCUUUGAAGCGGUUGGUAAGUAGCCUUUUAACCUUAUCUGAUACCAAAUGGGCCUGAAAUCAGGUUUGGUCAGCUCAUGAACUUGGCAUCUUAACAUGUCUUGGCCAGUGUUUGGUAGCUGGUGCUGACAGGAAGUCUCUCCCUGCAGUAUAUUUCAGUCUUUCACUGUGCUGUUGGACCACUUAGGAAGAAAUCUUUUUUCAACUUAAUGACUUGAACAUAUUCAAAUCCUUUUCUCCAUCUAGAUGCUGAUGGUGUUCACCCCAUCACUAAGCAGU
This 535-nucleotide long non-coding RNA is filed under the name Salmo trutta (river trout). Its description in RNAcentral is "lncRNA (ENSSTUG00000034289.1)". The record is from RNAcentral. Lineage: Eukaryota; Metazoa; Chordata; Actinopteri; Salmoniformes; Salmonidae.